ACGCUCCGAACAGCCACAACAGCCCGCUGGCUCGCACGGGGUGCUCUUCAUCGAGUGUCCCGCGUGGCCGGCAGAGUUUACUUUGAAAAAAUUAGAGUGCUCAAAGCAGGCUACACUGACGGCCUGAAUGCCUAUGCAUGGAAUAAUGGAAUAGGACCUCGGUUCUAUUUUGUCGGUUUUCUGAACCCGAGGUAAUGACUAAUAGGAACAGGCGGGGGCAUUCGUAUUGCGACGCUAGAGGUGAAAUUCUUGGACCGUCGCAAGACGAACUACUGCGAAAGCAUUUGCCAAGGAUGUUUUCAUUAAUCAAGAACGAAAGUUAGAGGUUCGAAGGCGAUCAGAUACCGCCCUAGUUCUAACCAUAAACGAUGCUGACCAGCGAUCCGCCGGCGUUAUUCCCAUGACCCGGCGGGCAGCUUCCGGGAAACCAAAGUCUUUGGGUUCCGGGGGAAGUAUGGUUGCAAAGCUGAAACUUAAAGGAAUUGACGGAAGGGCACCACCAGGAGUGGAGCCUGCGGCUUAAUUUGACUCAACACGGGGGAACCUCACCAGGCCCAGACACCGGAAGGAUUGACAGAUUGAGAGCUCUUUCUCGAUUCGGUGGGUGGUGGUGC
This 614-nucleotide ribosomal RNA is filed under the name Telmessus cheiragonus. RNAcentral's name for it is "SSU rRNA". It matches the Rfam family "Eukaryotic small subunit ribosomal RNA", at positions 675 to 1283 of the family's 1831-position model. The record is from RNAcentral. Lineage: Eukaryota; Metazoa; Arthropoda; Malacostraca; Decapoda; Atelecyclidae.